RNAcentral lists this unclassified non-coding RNA (1319 nucleotides) under Paenirhizobium selenitireducens. RNAcentral's name for it is "Rhizobium selenitireducens partial miscellaneous RNA". The stretch from base 1211 to 1319 matches the Rfam family "Bacterial large subunit ribosomal RNA", at positions 1 to 108 of the family's 2925-position model. The record is from RNAcentral. Lineage: Bacteria; Pseudomonadati; Pseudomonadota; Alphaproteobacteria; Hyphomicrobiales; Rhizobiaceae.
GUAGGGGAACCUGCGGCUGGAUCACCUCCUUUCUAAGGAAGCUGUGGAAUUGGUAAGACGCCCAACUUGAUUGGGAUGAACCUUCCCGUGCUUUUUAGAACAAUAGAUGGCACCAGUCAGGUGACCAUCGAAACGCAAUACGCCGACAGAGACUUUUGGUCCUUUCGGUAUGGCGCGAGCCGCCGUCUACGUUUCUCUUUCUUCAAAAGACAAGGACCACGCUUUGGUCGCUUGGGUGCCUUGUGGCGCCUGGCGGUCUUCGUGUUGUUCAACCCACUUUUUUAGUUCGGCCAGCUGUUCGUUUAACAAAGAGCGGCCGAAUGGGCCCGUAGCUCAGUUGGUUAGAGCACACGCUUGAUAAGCGUGGGGUCGGUAGUUCGAGUCUACCCGGGCCCACCAUGUUUUGUCCUGCCGCGCUGUUCGCACCUUCGGUGCUGCGCUCCGGAUGGGCCGCGCCACGAGGCGCGACGGGCUGGCGCCCUGUAAGGGUGCCUGUUCUGCAUGGUUUUGGUAUGGGUAUGGAUCGGAUGGUUUAAGCGUUGACGGAUCUCUUGGCAUUGCCUUGAGGUGCGAACCUGAAUGGGGCUGUAGCUCAGCUGGGAGAGCACCUGCUUUGCAAGCAGGGGGUCAGCGGUUCGAUCCCGCUCAGCUCCACCAAGGUUUUGGUGUUGAUGCGAGUGGAAAACAUCCUUGUCUUUGAAGAAAUAAAAGUUUGCAUCACUUCGAUGAAGUGCUGCCUGUUCUGCAAAAUUGUGAAGAGAAGAUUGAUCUGGAGGCUUCCAGGUGUGGGUUUUACCAUGUCCGAGCCCUUUCCCGAUGAACCUUUGAAGGCCUARCCGGCYUGAGAUUGGUGAGGGAUUGGAGGUAGGAAGGAAGCUUGUCACUCUGGAUCGUUCGUUGUUGGUCGCCUUCGGGUCACCUCUGAUGAACGGUCGGAUUACCGUUGCCUGACCGCGCGGUACCGGAUUUGAUCUCGAGAAGCUGGUCUUAAGACAAGCUGCAAGUGAGCUGCUCGGCGUAGCUCCAAUAAAGCAGACUUGUCGAACACGUCGAUGGCAUUGUCGAAUGAACCUGGUUGUAAAAGGUAACCUGGUUUUUGGGGUCUGGAUAUGCGGCUUGUCCGUAUGGUCAGGUUUGGAACCCCUUCGAGCGCAAGCGAGAAGGAUAGGAAUUCCAAACCCAAUAGAUGAUGAGCAUUGGCAAUGAGAACGAUUAAGUGUCGUAAGGGCAAUUGGUGGAUGCCUUGGCAUGCACAGGCGAUGAAGGACGUGAUACGCUGCGAAAAGCCGUGGGGAGCUGCGAAUGAGCUUUGAUCCAUG